This is a long non-coding RNA of Dermochelys coriacea (leatherback sea turtle), 1774 nucleotides long. RefSeq lists it as uncharacterized. NCBI's taxonomy places the organism in Eukaryota, Metazoa, Chordata, Testudines, Dermochelyidae. The record is from RefSeq and is a predicted model, not a curated record. The transcript is spliced from 2 exons.
CUCUGUCUACACCGCCCAGCAGGCCAUAGCAACAAUGGCAUAAGACCUGGUGGGUCCAGUGUCCUUCCGUGUGCAGUUGGUGCCCGGCUGUGGGAGAACCUCUGUAGGAACCUGGGAGAUAUUUGCUGUUGAGAAGGGGCUUAGUGUGGUUGGAGAGGUGGAUGAUGUUUGAAGAUUACUAGGUAUUUAUUAAGUAAACCUCUGAAAGGUGAGAGUUACUAAAAUGGUCCGCUGCUGAGGAUAGCAGGGUUAGAGCCGCAUCAGACGCCUCAACGCAGGUGUCUUCCAUCACCUUUUAGCCCCUGUCCCUACCAAUCCUAGUGCAAUUCUGGGGGUGAUCUGGUCCCCAGCACAUGUUAGAGCAGCCUAGCCUGAGCAGACAGUAACAGUCCUCAAGGAGCCAUCCCAGGAGCAUAUCACACCCUAGCCACAUUCCCUCCUCUUUGCAUGCCCAGGAUGGCAGUGGCAGGACCAGGGACAGAUGAUAUCAAGGGCAAAAAGGGUGUUUCCUGUCCCUUUUGUGCUGCCAGGGCAGCGCAGAAGGAAUGGAUUGGAGACCAGGACCUAUCCUUUAAACAUACGUAUUCUUUCAGGACAGUCAAACCUUUUGUACCCCAAGUGAAUCCCAAUACCUCUUUGGCAUUGCUCUGAAGGAAAGAGCACAGUGCUCUGUAUGCUCACAGCCUGCUCACAGCUUGUCAUUUACACCUUUCCCACAACAGGGUAAGGGUAGGCUCCCUUCCAAAGAGUGUCUCCAGUAUGUAAUCAUCAGGCCCUCAUUUCAAGGGUACAGCAGGAGAGAUAAGACUGUUCAAGCAUCUGAUGCCUGAUAUGGAGUCCGUGAAAAGUUCCAUCAAGACAGGCCUAGACACGCUCUGGCUCUGGAUAUUGCAAGUUCCCUUGUUUGCUGCCUCACAGCUACAACUGUGCUUCAUUGACAACACACACAUGUUGGUAUGAUACACUCUUUCACAGGAGCAUGGCCGUCUUGCUAGAGACCACAUCAGAGCCAGAUCCUGCUAGUUUCAUUGGUUAAACUUUUUAUUAACCAACCUCCUCAUCUAUGAAAUAAGAGAAACGUGCACACAUGCACAUACGCACAAAAUAAUUAUCAUUUCCUCCUCUAUUGAUUUAGAAUUUUCCGCUUGCUAAAUAAUUCCCAAUUCACACCAGUAGUUGUAUACAUUUCAGCUGGGUCUUAACUCAAGAACUGGGGACCGGAACUAUUACGGGAGCUCAGUCUGCUGCCAGCAAUCUGAAAUCUACUGCAGAGUUUCUCGUGUUGCCAGCCAAGUCCUAAUAGCACUUUACAAUCCACAUCUCCAUUAAUUUGCAAAUGAAAACCUGAUACUAAAAUUCCCUGAGUGCAGGGAAGAUUAUGGAUCUUAGUUUAAUUUCUUUUUUAUAUUAAUCUGUAAAUUAUCUUAAGUGCUGGAACCAUUGAAACUGGACAGGCUGUAUAUACCUGUCAUAAAUGCAAACAAUAGGUCUUAAACCAUUGUCGGUUUACUCUUUUUGGGACCCUUUUACAAAACUAUUGGAGUUCUGUUGAUUUUCAUGGGCUUUGAAAUGAGGCCCUCUUUCAGUAAGCAAGGAGAAUUGCAUUGUAUCUACAUGCUGUAAAAUCAGAGUGCUUUGCAGCCCCGUGGUAAUGGUGGGCAUGAUGGCAAGCUAUAUAUUUGUUCUGUUAUAGACCAAGAAUGACAACUAAUAAAACCAUCAAUAUGUCCCAUAAUGCUUCUUUUCUUUAGUUUAUAGGAACCAAAUGACUUCU